This 1296-nucleotide ribosomal RNA is filed under the name Escherichia coli. RNAcentral's name for it is "partial 16S ribosomal RNA". It matches the Rfam family "Bacterial small subunit ribosomal RNA", at positions 37 to 1325 of the family's 1533-position model. Lineage: Bacteria; Pseudomonadati; Pseudomonadota; Gammaproteobacteria; Enterobacterales; Enterobacteriaceae. The record is from RNAcentral.
UGGCGGCCGCCUACCAUGACAGUCGUACGGUAACAGGAAGAAGCUUGCUUCUUUGCUGACGAGUGGCGGACGGGUGAGUAAUGUCUGGGAAACUGCCUGAUGGAGGGGGAUAACUACUGGAAACGGUAGCUAAUACCGCAUAACGUCGCAAGACCAAAGAGGGGGACCUUCGGGCCUCUUGCCAUCGGAUGUGCCCAGAUGGGAUUAGCUAGUAGGUGGGGUAAAGGCUCACCUAGGCGACGAUCCCUAGCUGGUCUGAGAGGAUGACCAGCCACACGGGAACUGAGACACGGUCCAGACUCCUACGGGAGGCAGCAGUGGGGAAUAUUGCACAAUGGGCGCAAGCCUGAUGCAGCCAUGCCGCGUGUAUGAAGAAGGCCUUCGGGUUGUAAAGUACUUUCAGCGGGGAGGAAGGGAGUAAAGUUAAUACCUUUGCUCAUUGACGUUACCCGCAGAAGAAGCACCGGCUAACUCCGUGCCAGCAGCCGCGGUAAUACGGAGGGUGCAAGCGUUAAUCGGAAUUACUGGGCGUAAAGCGCACGCAGGCGGUUUGUUAAGUCAGAUGUGAAAUCCCCGGGCUCAACCUGGGAACUGCAUCUGAUACUGGCAAGCUUGAGUCUCGUAGAGGGGGGGUAGAAUUCCAGGUGUAGCGGUGAAAUGCGUAGAGAUCUGGAGGAAUACCGGUGGCGAAGGCGGCCCCCUGGACGAAGACUGACGUCCAGGUGCGAAAGCGUGGGGAGCAAACAGGAUUAGAUACCCUGGUAGUCCACGCCGUAAACGAUGUCGACUUUGGAGGUUGUGCCCUUGAGGCGUGGCUUCCGGAGCUAACGCGUUAAGUCGACCGCCUGGGGGAGUACGGCCGCAAGGUUAAAACUCAAAUGAAUUGACGGGGGCCCGCACAAGCGGUGGAGCAUGGUGGUUUAAUUCGAUGCAACGCGAAGAACCUUACCUGGUCUUGACUCCACAGAACUUUCAAAAAAAUGGAUUGGUGCCUUCGGGAACUGUGAGACAGGUGCUGCAUGGCUGUCGUCAGCUCGUGUUGUGAAAUGUUUGGGGUUAAGUCCCGCAACGAGCGCAACCCUUAUCCUUUGUUGCCAGCGGUCCGGCCGGGAACUCAAAGGAAACUGCCAUGUUAAAUUGAGGAAAAGGGGGGGGGAUGAAAUUCAAUUCUUCAUGGGCCUUUUAACCAGGGGUACAACCUGGUUCAAUGGGGCCUCCAAAGAAAAGCGACUUCCGGAAACAACGGACCCCUAAAAGGGUCCGAUUCCCGGAUGGAAUUCGCACUCACUCCUAAAU